AAGGAAACACCAGUUCUCUUAUGAUCACUACAGUUAAGCAAUGUUGAUCCUGGUCAGUACCUCAAUUGGUGACAUCUUGGGUAUACCAGGUGUUGUAAG
Non-coding RNA from Acanthosepion pharaonis, 99 nucleotides. The record is from the annotation of a GenBank genome assembly. NCBI's taxonomy places the organism in Eukaryota, Metazoa, Mollusca, Cephalopoda, Sepiida, Sepiidae.